UCUUAUUGUAAAUCACAGUCUCACAAGUGUAACCUUUUAUUUGAGAAGUGUGAAAUUUAUAAAGGGAAACCUCACUAAAAAGGAGUUGGGAGGCCAGCAGGGGGAGCGCUCAUGCCCGACCACCUCUCAUCAAUUGCAAACCCAACCAGAAGACCUAUCUUGCAAGGUGAUACUGCAUUAGCUCUCACUUCACUACCCAGGUAAGAGGAAAGAGGUUUUCCUUCUCCUGGCAACAGCCUAGCCAAUGAAAGGCUGUCACAAUUCAGCCAAUGAGAAGCCACUAGCUUCGAACUCCCAGUUUACACCAAUGGACUUUUUGUAACAGCCCUCCCAGCUCCAGCCUUUCCUCUACAGAAGAGUACUCCUCUCUUCCGUACUUAAGUGUGAAUUGUAGUUUCCUGUUCUUUCCGAAUAAACCCAUUUUUGCUGGGUUUAUUUUUAAGGUUCAACUGUCUAAAGGGUUCAUUUUGGAUGAAGGUGAAUAGUCCCUCUCUUCAGCCAAAGAAGUCGGGUGACUAGAGACAGGACCAGGCAGUAAUGGACUUAGGAAACUCUAAGAACAAAGAUGUGAAUCCUAUAGAGAGGAAGGAGGAAUGGGACCAGCAGGAGUAACAUACUUUCAAUUUGGACAAUACGAGGACGUGCCUUCCUAAGAAACCAGCCUACCCUUCUGUGAGCUGGGAGGAGGCCUCUGCCAAGGUGCUGAGGGAGGCCGCCAUGAACAGUGGGGCACUGGGGCCCUCACACCAACAGCCCAGAGGUACGUCAUCCUGCCAGGGACCAGGAAGGCGGCCUCAGAAGUGGGUCCUACAUGCUGAGCCUUCAGAUAAGCUACGGCCCCAGAUGACGCCUUGACUGUUGCCUUGUGAAGGCAGAGGCACCCAGGCUGUUUCCUAGAACUUCCAGAGCACACAGAAACCCAGAGGGCUCCAUCAUGUAUUCCCUCCUGUCGGUCACUGUGACUUUCAAAGCCCGUGAGGAGACAGGGAGCCCUCGUUACCUUGGUGAUGGUUAGCACGAUGUCGGUGGAUGUCACCAGAGGGCAGGGAUUCCCCAGGAGCCUGUAGCCAAUCACCUGGGGAAGCACCAUGCUGAUUGGCUGGCCCAGCAUGACAGCUUCUGCUUCAAUACCACCCACACCUGCAAAGAAUGGCACGGCAGAAUGAGGCUUUCAUUCCUCCUGUGACCCUCAGGCUUAACUCAAUGUCAUCAACAGAAUUUUAAGCAAGUGUUUCUGAAAGUGUGGUCCCCCAACCACCUGUAUCAAACUGCCUGUGAUUCUAUCAAAGUGAAGAGUGGGGUCAGAAGUCUCCAUUUUUAACAAAAACCUCAGGUCUUGAUUCUUCUGUAAACUGUCUGCCCUGUCAGAGAGAAAAACUACAUGUAUAAGUUUUAAGGCUUAAAAUAUUAUUACUGGUCAAAUCUGUUGGUGAUGAAUAACAUGGCAGUUUCACCUGCAGGCUUGCUGGACAGUACUGAUGCAUUCAUUCACAUGGGAAAGGGGAGGUACCUACAUGUACUAAUGAUCUACAGAACCCACCUGGGCCAUAUGUUGGGAGUGCGGUGCAGAAGCACCAUGAGCAGUGCCCACUUGGUGGACCAAACCUGAAGACUAUACAGAGUAGUAGCCAGGCAGCUGGAAGAGCCAAGACUGUCAAGGUCAUGACUCGGACAUACAGGGUGCCAAAGGAGCACCCAGAAAGGGCUACAGACUCGAAUGGGGGUCAGGAAUGCCUUCCAGAAGAGGAAUGACAUCAAUGUAGUCUGAAGGAUGGGGGGUAGUCAGCCAGGUAAAAAUCAGUAGGCACCUCUCGAGAAGAAAGAGACAGGAAGUACUUUUUUUACUCUACAAAACAACAACAGCAACACACAUUUCAGUUACCAUGCUGAUUUUUCUCUUCUUCUCUUGAAGUGAAUAUUCUCAAGGUUAAGUGUCAGCUGCUUUAAUGGAAUCAAUCCCAGAGAGUGCCUUAGAGGAGUCCACAAACUAUAGCCCAUGGGCAAAUCUGGCCUAAUACCUGUAUGUUUGAUCCUCAAGCAAAAAAUAAUUUUUACAUUUUAUAGGUUGAAAAGAAAGGAGAAUAUGUGAAUAGAGAGAAUAUGUAGCCAGCAAAGCCUAUUUAUUAUUGGUCCCUUAUAGAAAAAGAUUGCUGAUCCCUGACAUAAAGAAUGAAUGUCUGUCUGUGUGUUAAAGAAAAGCAAAAGGAAGAAACAGAGACCUUGGUACCAAGGACCAAGGCAGGACACCAUUGCCGACCCUGCAUCAGCAGACCCUCUGGGCCCUUGGACCAGGUGCCCCUAUUCUUCCAGGUCUACCUUCUCACUAGUACACUAAGGGCUCCAUUGCUCCAAAUCCACCUGUCUCUUCAGGUCAGGUUCAUAUUCCCAGUGGACCUGGGCAUCUGAAUGGGGAAUACCUCAGGCACCAGCAGCUCAACAGGUCAAACCCUAACGCACGUCCUUCUUUCCUAAGUCUUGUCCUUGUCCCAUCUGAUCACAUUUCAUUCAGUGACCUCUUCUCCCACCGAGUACCUACUGCUAUCAACGUACUUAUUCCAGAAAUAGCCCCCUAACUGGUUUCUCUGUCAGGCUAGUCAACAUCCCUUUUGUACCGUCACCAGAAUAUAAAAUAUAAAUCAUGGUCCAUCUUGCAUCUGCCACUGGCUUCACAAUUUCUAAAUGAAGUAGAAAUCCCUUGUCAUAAAAAACAAAGUCCUUCAAUCAGCCUUCCUGUAUAAGCCCUCCUAUCUUCCAGCCAAAACUUUCUUAAACUUCAUCUUCACUGUAGCCCUCAUACCCCUCCCAAACCUCUUUCCUCAGAUCUCUCUACACACUCUGUUCUUUCUGUGAAAAAUGCUUUUUCCAGCUCUUCUGUCUUUGGUAAACACCCUUCAGGAUCCAGAUCAAGUGAUACUCCUGGAAGAGCCCUCCUUAUGCCCCCCGUCCAGAUGAUUUGCCUCCUCUGGUUACUACACUUAACAGCUGCAUUAAAGUUGUAUAUUCUCUAAUCUCUCUCUUCUUCUAAACUAACCUGUUUCUCGAAUAAAUACUGGCACACAGCAGGCCUGUUAGAGGGAUUUAAUUAGGAAAAAAAAAAAGAAGUCAUCUUGGAACAUUAUUCUUGAUCAUAUGUGGCCCUGCCUCAGGUGCCCCCAUCUCUGCUGUACUCUGAGCUCUGUGGGUUCCCCGUCAUUAUCCCUUGUCCUUUUGCCUUCAGCACCAGAAGGAUGUUAGAGCUUCUCACAGCAGAGCAGGGUUGGAAGGGGAACACUUACCCCAGAGAAUGCUGGGGACAUCAGUUUGAUGUAAAGAACAUAUUCACAGCAGAAGCCAGAAACGUUUAGGCUGUUUUAAGAUAUGUUAAUUCCAGGUAAAAAAAAAACGAUUUACUCAUUAAACCAAAACACCUUGUGUGCUAACCUUUGCUCAAUUUACUUAGCUCUAAUUAUUGAAAUGAAUAAACAGACCUAGAAUUUGGCUUUUUUCCACCACUCAGAACUUUCCUAAAUUCACCAAUCUGGUGAGUUUUUAGUAAGGUUUCUGAAUGUGACUGGCCUCACAAUCUAAAGAGGAAAUGUUUCCCUAGUUACAUUAAUUUGAAUUCAGAUUUGAAUGCACAUCAAAGUUUCUGAGUACUACAUUUAACAGUACUCCAGAAAUUCACAAACAAUAUUUACAGAGGAGACAGUUUUCACACUCAAUGAAAUCUGGUCAGGAAUUGUUAUGGCAUUUUUGGGGGGAUUUUUAAAAAGGCUAUUUCUAAGAUAACUUUGUUAAAUAUUACAACAAUGUGUCAGUUAAUAAUGUGUUAGUAAUAAUCCUUAAUUCCUAAAGACAUUGUGAGGCCAAUUUUAUUUAAACUGGGCAAUGAGCUUAGAAAUACUUCACUGAAAAAACUUACCAUCCUACCACCUCUUACUCAGUUUUUCUAGUUCAUUUUUGGGAAUAGCUAGAAAAUAAGCCCACAGGACACAAAGAUUGAGACAUCACACUUAAUUCCUUACAAAAAAAUGAAGAAAGAGACUAAGAGGUCAAAUUGCAAAACCAAACUUGAGAAAUAAAAACAAACACCAUCAAUGAAAACACUUCCAAUAGAAAUGUUCUCUUUAAAUACAAAAAGAAAAAAGGAAGAAAAAAAGCAUUUGCUAGAAAUCAAUUUGGAUCAGAGUUCAUUUCACCUCUGGACUUUGCUGUUUUCACAAUAAUGUUUUCAGUACUACAGUAUAAAUGAACAAAAUCCUUAAAAAAUAGAAACCAGAGUUGAUGGAUAUCCAGGUUUAAGGAGGAAAAAAAAAUCACAGUGAAUUUGGUGAUCAUCUAGAUUCAUUAACUGCUUAAUAGUCAGGAACUCUUUGAAUUUUAGUCAAAAGACUUUAGACAUUAAAACAAUUAUAAUUCUGUCUCCACCAAUAUUUUCAUUUUCUAGGCCCGCAAAAUGAAGGUAAAUAAUCAAUACCAAAGAGUCUCCUUUUAUACCUUAUAACUUCUGAAGUGGGAAUUUAGGAAAUAUCCUCAUCUGCAAAUAGGAUAACAUUUUGUGUAUAUAUUUUUAACUCUUCCCUUUGAAACCAAAACAUUACAUUGAGCCCUUGUGAUUUAAAGAAGAAAAAAAGACAAGUUGCCUGAUAGGUUUACAGUCCAAAUGAAAGGGAAGAGCUAGCAAGUAUCCAGUCUUUUGGUUCCAAGAACUGUCACUUCAGGGCACAAAGAUUUGUCUUUAUCCUGAAUUUAUCUGGGUUGGAUUUUGGCAACAUUAAUUUUAAUUUGAGAAUGACCAGUUUCUACAUUUCUCUUGAGGCUAUGGAACCAACUUAAAUCCCCAGGGAAGCAAAUAAAAGGUUUGGGUUUUUUUCCCCUCUGAAUGGUUUGUCUCAUAUUCUUAGAUGAGUUUUUAUUUUUAAACUAAUAGCUUCUUAUUGUAAAAAUGGAGAACAGUUAUAAUCCUAAAGAUAGUUGCUUAGCAGCUUAGUAUCUCUUUCUCAACUUUUAAUCUCUGCUUAUCUUUUCAUCUAGCUGAGCUCACUCUGUACAUGCAAUUUAUAUGUGGUUCAUUGAACUAAGACAUGAGUAUGUUUCAAGUGUUAUUAAGCACAUUUUAAAUAUUUAAAGAUUACCUAAUAAUUCACUUUAAAGAUGUACCAUAAUUUAAUAAAUCAUUUGCCUUUGUUGGACAUCUAUAAUGCAUCUAGGUUUUCAUUAUUAUAAAUAAUACUUUGAUGAAUGCCAUUUAGUCAUUAAGCUGUAUGUCAUUAUAAAUUUCAGGUAUCUAUGAAGGGUAUGCUUAGAAUUGAAAUUUCCAGGACAAAGGAUAUGGCAAUUUUUGAGGAACUUACUAAGUAUUGCUUUUAUCAUUUCUAAUUUGCAGUGUAUAAAAGUGUUUCUCUCAUGAAACCUUUAUAAUUAAUAAUGUUACUUUUCUAAUCUUAACUAUAUGAGAAAAUGGUAUCUCAAGAAUUAAAUUUAGUUUUUUAUUAUUUGUAAGGUUGAAAAAGCUUUAUCAACUGUUUACCAUUUGCAUUUCCUUUUAUUGUGAAUGUCUACUUUCCUUUGCCCAUUUAUCUACCUGGUUUUACUGUUUAUAAAAAUGGAUCAUACACAGUCUUUAUAUUAAGGAUAGCAACCCUUUGGUCAUAUUUGUUGCAAAUGUUUUUCAACUAAUUUUCUGUUAACUUUGAAGUCAUUAAAUCUAUAGAUUUUUUUUCCCUUUUUGGCAUUCAUUGUUAAAUUUAUAAAGGUCAUCAAAACACUUGACACAUAUAUACUUAAAUUUUCUUCUAAAUUUUUUGAUGAUUUGAUUUUUAAAUAUUAAUGCUUUAAUUCAUGUGAACUGCUUUCUUUGCCAAAUAAUUUUCCCAGCAUUGUAUGCAUAAUCUUUCUUUUCCCACUGAUAACUGAUAAUAAUUUUAUUUAGUUAUCUAGGUUAAGAUACCAUCCUUGUAGCCAUACCUGGUUGCCCUCCCUGUAUUCAAACCCUUGUUGUAUAAUCUUACAGCUAUUCUGCAGAAGAUGAAAUGACUUUGGGCUUGACGUACUUUGAUUAAUGUCACAUGAAUAGAAGUGACCCUAUGCCAGUCUUGAUCUAGGCCUCGAGAUAUUGUGGGUUCCCACUUUUCCUCUUGAGCCUCUGUGAUCACCAGAUAGCCAGGCCCGCAACGAAACACACAUGGAAUGGAGCUGUCCCAGCUGUGCUGCAGAAGUGCAGUGCUGUGUAAGCAGUCGGCCCAGCCAGAGCUGGAUGAAGCAGAGCUGCCUAACUGCACUCAGCCUUUCUUGAAAGGCUGACAAGGGAAGCACUGAAGAGAGUGAAGUGACAGUUGGCUCACGUAAAGUCCUGCAGGAUGACCCGGGCAGGCUUAAAUGGCACCUCUAUGUUCUUAUGCUGCAUGACAUUCCAAUUCAGGAUAUUUUCAAUGUCAUUUUUCUUCACCAAAAAUUGAUCACAGUUCCGAAUGGCUGCCUCCAGAAGAACUCUGAUAGAAAAUGGAUCCAAAGGCUCAGCAAGGUGUGCAAAUGGGUUGUUCAUGGUCCCUGAUGGUCACGUGUGUCUGAAAAGGAAAGAAAACACCUAAUUUGUUUUCUUGACCUCAUUUAUUCUGUUCUACAACUUUUCAACAUUCUUUCACUGAUAAAAUAUGGGAAGAAGGGAAAUGAAGGCUGUGCUCAAAAUAAAUCUUGAAUAUAUGAACAGACCUCUGAGUUGGACUCAUGUCUUGCUUGACUGGAGGUAAGAGGUCCAUAGCAGGUGACAUUACGCAACUGUAUAAAACUUGAACUUUGGAAGUGAGGACUUCAAAGCAGCUGUUUUCUAUGUCACAGACUCUGCAGCAUUUUAAAUAAGCAUGUCAACUAGAAGUCUUCCUGAAUGACUUUUGCAUAUGGUAAUGACAGUGUAUUCACAUUAAGAAAUCAUAAAAUAAGGUUCACGGUGGUGGCAUAAAGGCCCAAACUCCCCAGACAGGUUUGGAGGGGACUCUACUGCAUGCAGCAUUGGGCAUGACUUCUCAUUUAUCUUUUUAUAAAUGAUACGCAGUGAACAGGGAAGACACUGUUCCUGGCCUCCACCAGGCAGAUAUAAAGUGAUUUCAUAUAACUUAACUAUAUAAUUCAGAGCAAAACACACUAGGGCAGGAGUCCAAAGACUUGCUUUCAAGUUCUACUCUAUGGGCAGAAAUCCUUAAUCAAGCCACUCCCCCAAGAGUCCUAAUUUUAAGAUAAAAAUAGUAACAUCUCUCUACUUAAUCCAGGGUUUUAUGAGUAAAUAUUUAACAUUUUUGGGAUGACUGAUAUGGAAAGAACAACAUAUUACUAUAAAAUGAAAAAAUAAACCCCAUGAUACAGGAAACUGCUGUUUGUGGGGAAAAAGUUACAAGUGGGCCUUGCCUCCAGAGACCAGCCCCUGUCUUUAUUAAGACAUAAGAAAGAUUGGUUGCUUUAGGAGGGGCAGGGGCCCUGAAAUCGAGACUGGGAGGAAGUCUCAGUUUUCACUGUGUAUCUUCUCAUAUUGUUUGCACUUUUAAAUGUGUACAUAGAUAACUUUUUGAGAACUAGUUAAAAGUUUAAAAGAAAUAGGUAUUUCUACAUUUGCUCUGUUCAAAACCCAGUGCUAGGUGUUCUGAGGAGAGGCAGCCGAUUGAGAUGCUGCCUCCGCCUUCCUGGAGCUCCCAGUGCAGGAUGUGGGAGGACAAGCCACACCUGUAACAUGCACAAGUGAAUGCAGAGGGAAGAGUGAGCUUGUCUGCCAGUGCCUCCCUGGGAGCUGCUGCUUUCCCCUCGUCCCACAUGCUUUCUGGGGGAUCUGCUAUUUCGUCAGCAAGGGACAAGGUAUCUGACCCAGUCUGGGCCAGUUGACAUGCUGUAGGAAAUCUGGAACUGAAACUAAAGACAGGCUGGCAAGUGACACUAGAACACAGUGUAAUCAUGUUCAUAGAAGUUUAUAAAUGUCCUAGAAUUAUUCAGGUAUCUUUCCUGUUAAUAAUAGAUUCCUGAGUCUCUCCCCUCAGCUACUGAAUCUGAAUUGACUUGGGGAAGUGGAAGGAUUCACCAUCUUUAAUCUCCCAUGCGUUUCUAACACGUUUGGCUUAGGAGUCACUGCUGGACCCCGUGGAGUCCCAGUUGAGGAACUGACGAUUCAGGAGGCAGUGAGGUGCUUGGAAGGGGGAGGGAGCCACAACCAAAAUGCCUCUGAGGUUCAGGAAGGGCCCUAUGCAGUGAGGCAGGCUGCACGGGGACCGGGCAACCUCAACCUCUAAGGGGGCAGAGGUCACUGGCUCCAGCCAAGGGCUGCCUGCAGGAAUGCUGGUCCAGAGUUAACAGAUCAUCCAGCUUUUCAAAUGAGGCUGGCAAUCUGCAUUUCUACACGAACUCUCUUGAUUUAUAAAUGUUGGUAACUAAAUUUUUCUGUACUACUAUGCAGGGCCAAACCGAACACCCCUGUGCCCCUAUUUGACCUGUGUCCCAACAUAACCUGGCAGAUGUUUUGGACUGGAGGAAUGGAAGGGUGAGCAGAGAAGAAACUCAGGUAGGAGACUCCGGAAGGGGAGGAGGUGAAAAGUGACCUGAGUGGACAAGUGGAUGGUGGCAGCGGAAAUUGAAAAGAAGUUGUAGAUGGAUUAAAAGCUGAAGAGACCAAAGUUAGAGAGAACGGCUGCUGAGUGAGUGGGGAGUCAUGGACGGGAGAAGAAACACAGUGGAACUCCAUGUACGGCGAGGUGAAGGACUACUUUUUGGGAGGGAAGACGGCGGCUUUUGUGUUUGAGGGGAGAGUCUACUUAAGAUAAGUGCCACAGAAAUGCAAGUGUCUUUUUAUUCAUGCCCAUUACAUGGGGAGCCAGUUAGGAAGAAAAGGCCUGUAAAUACACCAUUCAGCAAGAAACACGCCGGCUUGUCUGCAGAAGGAGAAGUUUACAGAUCUGUGGGCUCAUAAAAUGAGACUAAUGAUCCCAUUGACUACAGUUCUGAAGAUGUAAAUUGAAAAAGGCAAUAAUGCUCCUCUCCCUUUGGUUGGUCACCAAUGCCACUGCCCUAGACUUCACUCUUCCAUUCCAAACAGAUUUGCAGCUGCGAUAGGAAAACUGCUGUUUUGCUGGCCUGGAAAAUGGAUCCACAGAAGAGUGUCUCCACAGAGACAGGGGCCAGGUGACCCCAAAGUCUAUGGUUGAACCGGUCACUAAGUUGUACCCAGGUUUGCCAUGAUGCAGUGAAGAUAAAAUGUGUCUAUUUGCUUCCCUUACAGAUGGCCUGCGCAGAACUUUGGAGGCCUUAUACAAUUCCUGCUGCUCCUGGCACCCUACAAAGCAAGCUGGCAUUUCAGGAUGGAAUGAUGACCAGUAUGGAUCAUGUAGAAAAUGGCUUGUGUAAAGCGCUCUACCAUCUGCCUCCCUUUUUCCUUAGAAAGUAGAUAACUGUCUAGUUUCACUAUAUUAAUGAAGCAAUUUCUACUUGCAGCAAUUAGGAGGAAUCAGGUACUAAUUACUAAGCACCAGCACAUGCCCAGUGCUUCAGCCCAUCUUCUCUAACUCUGGCAACAUCUCUGUUACUUAAAGCAUCCUGAUUCCCAUUUUACAGCUGAGAAACAGCAGCUCAGAGAGAUGGAAAAACUUGCCUAACAGCAUACAUCUAAUAAGAGGCAGAGCUGGGUUUUGAACUCGGCUCUUUCCACCCACCCUGUGGCGCCUCUCGCCUCUCCAAGUGCAACAACUCCUGUUGUGAAGGUGGUGUGGCUGGAGGUCACCAACCAACCCCCAGACUUGAAAAAAGCCCAAAGGCUUUGUUCGGGCCUGAGAAAUCCUACAAGAUGCAGCUGUGGAUACUAGAGUUGCCUUUCCUUCUUCCAUUGGUCACCCAGCACAUUGGCCUGGGCCCGGCAUCACACAUCCCAAGCCACUUUAUGGAGUCCCAGAUGCCCUGCCAGGAGUUCCAAGUACCUUAAUCCCAAGAGAAAGCCCCAAACAUGCCGCGAGGAGGCUGUGAGGGGACUGGUCUUUAUCUUGGGAAAGGUGCAGAUCCAAAGUGGAAUCUAGGCCUUGUGAGUACUUCCUAGGUCUGCCUUACCUUGGCCAGAACUGUACUCCAUCCCCAAACCUCAGGUCCUAAUUACCACAGGGCCUGCGGAUUCCACACCUACCCCAAGAUCUGGGUCUGUCGGCCAGGGAGCCCUGCCUACUUCUAAAUUCACAUAAAGCACAUACGAUUGUUUGAAUUCCUUUCUGUUCUUGUCCCCCAUCUUCUCCUUCUGCUUUGUUCCUACCUUUUUUGUUUUAUCUAAUCCCCAUUCAAUACUAAUAAAAGAGAGGAAUGACCA
Non-coding RNA from Manis javanica (Malayan pangolin), 10300 nucleotides. NCBI's taxonomy places the organism in Eukaryota, Metazoa, Chordata, Mammalia, Pholidota, Manidae. The record is from RefSeq and is a predicted model, not a curated record.